CGGGCCGGGCCGGCGGCGGGGGCUGGGGCCGGAUUCCACCGAGGGGACCGGAGGGGAGGGGGCGCGGAGAGGGAGGAGCCGAGUGGCGCAGAGGGUCGGGCUGCAGGAGCUGCGGGGCAGAUGGAAGAAGUUUGGGGAAGGGGCGGGUCCGAGUGCAUUCCUCGCCGGCCCGCGUGUCCUGAAGGCCGGGACGUUGGAGCCGGAGCGGCGUCGGUGCUGCCCCCGGCUGCUUGUCCUUGGGAGUGUGGCUCGCGGAUCUGGGUGACCCCUCGGUCAGGCUGGGACCUAGGGACUUGAAUGUUGGCAAGUGGACUUGGUCACCUAACACUGAGCCCUCGAACAUGCUUUUCCAACUCGAGACUUGGUUUAUAAGGUGUGUGCUUCUGAAAUAUCUGUGAAACACCUUUCGUACACCCAGCCUCUUUCUCUACUCUUGCUAAGACAGCUUUUUUUUUUUUUUUGAAGGUUAGGUAUCUGAGAGAUUAUUCCACUAAUUAACACUUUCUUCUUUCAACUUCAGCAUAUGUCCCUGGAAUUGCUGUCCUUUUACCCACCCCUCUGUCCCUAAACCUAGUUUCUGCACCUGUUUAGUUCGUGUCAGACAGAUGACAGCACCUAACCAUCUGUUGGGGUAUUGAGAGGGCGUGCGGAGCUGCAAACGUGGGUGUUGCCAUUAAAAUAGAGUAUGUGAAUAUUUUCUUAAAGCUCAUAAUUAACCAGCCGGGAAAAUAAUCUACAUGACUUUGCAUUUGCCCUGUUUAGAAAAUAGUUCUAGAGUGGUCCGGGAGGUGGUGCAGUGAUGAGGCUUUGGACUCUCAAGCAUGAGGUCCUGAGUUCGAUCCCUGGCAGCACAUGUGCCAGAGUGAUGUCUGGUUCUUUCUCUCUCCUCCUAUCUUCUCAUGAAUAAAUAAAAUCUUUAAAAAGAAAGAAAGAAAGGAAGAAAGAAAGAAAUAGUUCUAGAGUCAAUGUUUUGUUUUAUUAUAAUACAGGUUAAAAGAAAAAAAAAAUGCUUGACAUGUCAUUUUCUCCAAGACAGUACCAUCAAUUAACAAUUCCUUAGUCAUAGCUUCUAUCAGAAGUAUAAAUUCCCCACCUGAAGAUUUUGGAAAGAAAUCAACAGUAACGUUUUUAAGAAUGUGAGAGAAACAUCAUUUUUUUUUUUUAACUUAUUUGUCACCUAAAAAUGACUAGACUUAAAAACAAAAACAAGCCUUGAGGCAAAUCUUCAGAUAUGCCAAGAUUUCUCAACCUGAAAAAAUACUGCCAUCUACUGGAAGAGUUUAGUCCUUACUGUCAUCUGCACUAGAGAUAGUAGCAAAUUUUUGAGAGUAUCUUUAAGGUUAAUAUUAUUAUUUUAAUAUUUUGGGCAGAGCACUGAUCAGCAUUGACUUAUUAUGAUGCUGGAUUUUGAAUCUAGAAUCUCUGGUAUUUGAGGCAUGACAGUCUAUUGUGUAAUCAGCUAUGCUAUCUCCUCAGCCUGAAGUAUUUAUGAAAUACAAAAAUGGGCAUAACAUAAGUUACCAGUACCCCUUGCUUUUGUGAAUUAAUAAUACUUGUUAUUUUCUUUUUCCUCUGUGCCUUUGCCUUGAUUGGAAAGGGAAUGGAGGGCUGGAGAGACAGGAUGAGGGUUAUGCAAGAGACUUUUUUUUUCUGCCUCCAGGGUUAUCGCUUGGGCUGAGGGCCUGCACUAAGAAUCCACUGCUCCUGGAGGCCGUUUUUACCAUUUUUUUGCCCUUGUUAUUUAUUGUUAUUAUUAUUGUUGUUGUUGGAUAGGACAGAGAGAAAUCAAGAGGGUGGGAAGACAGAGAAGGGGAGAGAAAGACACCUGUAGAUCUGCUUUACCGUUUGUGAAGCAACCCCCCUGCAGGUGAGGAGUUGGGGGCUGGAACCAGAAUGCUUAUGUAGGUCCUUAGGCUUUGUGCCAUGUGCACUUAACCCACUGCACUACCGCCCGACCCCCCCAAGAGACUUUUAUGCCUGAGGCUCUGAUAUCGUAUAAGUUCAAACCCCCACAUCAUAAGCCAAGCUGUGAAGUGCUCUAUAAAAGAGAGAGAGAAAUAAAGGAAG
Long non-coding RNA from Erinaceus europaeus (western European hedgehog), 2067 nucleotides. RefSeq lists it as uncharacterized. The transcript has 2 exons. Lineage: Eukaryota; Metazoa; Chordata; Mammalia; Eulipotyphla; Erinaceidae. The record is from RefSeq and is a predicted model, not a curated record.